Molecule: non-coding RNA, 650 nt
Organism: Taeniopygia guttata (zebra finch)
Lineage: Eukaryota; Metazoa; Chordata; Aves; Passeriformes; Estrildidae
Source: RefSeq, a predicted model, not a curated record
UCUGAGAUUUGGGAUAUUUACUGUAACAGAACCCAGAGGUCACAGCAAAGUUCUCUUUUUUGUAAAUUUAGAACCCAGCCCAGCCCCUUGUUUGAAGGACAUGAGUAGAACGUGGCUGUAAGUUCUUUCAUCCUGAGCAGCAACUGAACUGUUUUGCUUGGUCCCAGCACAUUUUCCCAAAUAAAUACUUAUUUUUGGAGUAUGGGAUGUAACUAUCACUGAACCUACACAUUUUAUUACCUACUGCAAUUCAAUUAAUGCCUACUGAACUUUCCAACCUUCUCUAUGGCAAUUAGGCUUUAACUUCAAAGGGAUUCUCCAAGGACAGUGGUACAAAUCCCCUGACCAUGAAUAUUUUUGUUUUAUAACUGCAUCUUUGUUUUCUGGAUUCUGGAAUCUUGCAGUGGCACUGAAGCUCUCCUUCAGCUGCAGGCCAGGCUCUUUGAGAGAACAGAAAUGGUUGGAAGCAGCUUCCCAGGACACACAGCUGUGCCCACUUUCCCACACUGCUCUGUCAAGGAUGGAAGAACGGAUGGAAGCUCCAUGGGAAUCUGACACACAGCAAGUGCAAUGAUGGAGGCUGUGAGGAAAAUAUGAAAAGAAUGCUCUGGAAACUUUGGCUGUGUGAGUACCUUUAUAAGCCAAGCUGG